CAGUGGUAGAAUGCUCGCCUGCCACGCGGGCGGCCCGGGUUCGAUUCCCGGCCGAUGCAAAGUACUUUUUUGCCUUAUGAAUUAUCCUUCGCGAGGGUACGGCCUGAGAAAACUCCUUCAGGGCCUGUUGCAAAAAUAUGAUGUACAAUGCAAAUUUGUACUACAAACUUAUGAUGAAUCACUGUGUCUGUCGCACAUCAGUCCAUUGUAGUAAAUACAAUAAGUAGGUCUAGAGCUUUCGAACGGAUCUUAGAUGCCAAUAUCAACCAAAAGUAUUUAAAACAUCGGUGGUUCAGUGGUAGAAUGCUCGCCUGCCACGCGGGCGGCCCGGGU
Long non-coding RNA from Bombus impatiens (common eastern bumble bee), 333 nucleotides. RefSeq lists it as uncharacterized. NCBI's taxonomy places the organism in Eukaryota, Metazoa, Arthropoda, Insecta, Hymenoptera, Apidae. The transcript has 3 exons. The record is from RefSeq and is a predicted model, not a curated record.